RNAcentral lists this transfer RNA (76 nucleotides) under Bacteroidia bacterium. Its description in RNAcentral is "tRNA-Gly". It matches the Rfam family "tRNA". Rfam says of the family: Transfer RNA (tRNA) molecules are approximately 80 nucleotides in length. Their secondary structure includes four short double-helical elements and three loops (D, anti-codon, and T loops). Lineage: Bacteria; Pseudomonadati; Bacteroidota; Bacteroidia. The record is from RNAcentral.
GCGGGAAUAGCUCAGCUGGUAGAGCGCAACCUUGCCAAGGUUGAGGUCGCGAGUUCGAACCUCGUCUUUCGCUCCA